GAGUGAGCAGAGCAAUCCAUCCAUACCGACCAGGGCCUUCUUUUUUUUACCAGUGUGGCAGCGUUGUUGUUCAAUCUGUUUCACUCUGACCCCAUAACCUUAGAGACGAUGGAAUCUUAUUACCUACAAUGUGAGAGUUUGAACUGGUGUGUUUGUGCUUCAGGAUUUUCCCCCAACCCACAAGUAUCUCAUUGAGUGUGUUUAACAGAUGUUUCUUAAAGAGCUGUGUUCAUAUGAGCAAGUUUUAUUUUCCCUUUCGUACUGUUUCCCCUCUAGUGUAGCGGAAUAUACAAAGAAGUCACAUGAAUGGUCUUUGGGGUUAUUUAAUGUUUUGGGAUGUGGUUUUCAAGAGUCAAGAUAAUUUGGCUCUUAAUGGCAAAUCAUUAGUGAAGAAACAGAUUUGCCAUACAAAUGGAGAUUCUGCAAAUAGUUACAUCUGUGGGAAGUUUGAUUGCCCCUGUUUCUUUCCAUUUCAAAACCAUUAAAUAUCAUUGCCUUUAGGGAUGGAAAAAUCUAUCAUUAGCUCUUUCUAUUACCUCAUGUGGGGUCAGAACCGGGAAUGACACUGUCUUUUCUGUGCUAUAAAGCACUGGCGAAUGAGUCAAAAUGUCCUUUUGGUGUCUUUGAAAGUUAACCCCUGGGGUCUAAGUCAGUCAUCAUCAGUCUUUAAUCAGAGUGUGGUAAGUGCAUAGGGAUAUUCUUGGCAUGGUCAGCAGAGAGCCUGUCACUUUCCAUGAGUCCUAUCCUGUUGUUACCUGGCAGGCUGUGUAAUCCUUGAUUUUGUUAUCCUUGAUGUAACCUGCAUAACCUAAACUAUACAAUGCCAGGCUCUCGCUUUGUGGUGGAAACUGAACGUAGUAUUUGAUGACAUUUGAACUUGAAGACUGUCAGUAAGUAGUAAAGUAGAAACGUAUCGUGGUGGUUAGUAAAUCAAUGUAUUUUAUUGUACUUUCUCUCGUGUUUGGUUACUGUAGUCUGAGAAUGUGAGUGGUGCUAGCCCCAGCCUGUACUUGUGCAUUGUUUUGUGUUCUGUUUAUUAUAAUUUUUUGCACUUCUUACCAGAAUCAAAGGGAUGAUUGGCCAAACCUUGUUGAAAGAUGGCCAAUGUUCACUGUCUGUUCAGAUUACAGUGCCUUCAGAAAGUAUUCAUACACCUUGAAAACGUGUUUUUGAAAUGUUAGGAAAUGUAUAGACCCAUUAAAUACACAUAUCUAAUUUACAUAAGUAUUCACCCCUGAGUUUAUACUUUGUAAAAUCACCUUUGGCAGUGAUUAAAAAAGAGUCUUUGUGGGUAAGUCUCUAAGCGCUUUUCACAUGAGAAUUGUGCAACAGUUUACCAUUUAUUGUUUUCAAAAUUCUUCAAGCUCUGUCAAAUUGCUUGUUGAUCGUUGCUAGACGAAGAUUUCAAGUAUAUUUAAGUCAAAACUGUAACUCGGCCACUCUGGAACAUUCACGGUCUUCUUGGUAAGCAACUCCAGUGUAGAUUUGGCCUUGUGUUUUAAGUUAUUGUCUUGCUGAAAGGUGAAUUAAUCUCCCAGUGUCUGGUGAAAAGCAGACUGAUUUUACAUGUGCUCCAUUAUGUUUCUUUUUUUUACCUGAAAAACUCCUCUGUCUUUAAUGAUUACAAGCAUACCCAUAACAUAAUGCAGUCUCCCCUAUGCUUGAAAAUAUGGAGAGUGGUACUCCGUAACGUGUUGUUUUGGAUUUAAAAACUAAGAAUAUCAAACAGGAAGUUAAAAAGAAGGCAGCUAUGAAUAAGUAUACUGACAUAGAAGAUUUGAAUAAAAUGCUGGUUGGACUCUGAUCAGGGGAGCCAUUUGGACAACAAGGAUUUUGACUCGGCUGACAAAGAUUGCUUUUUCGAAGGAUUGGAUCCACUUUUUUAGAUUUGUAAGUAAAUUCUUUUCAUCACUUUAUAUAGCUAAUUUACUAUGUAUUUCAUUUUUUACAAGUCUGCUUUUUGUGCUUUGGAUUUAGGUUACAUAGGCCUAUGUAACAAGUCAUUUCAAUGUUAUAUAAUUCCACAGUUUGCUGUUAUAAGUUUCAUCCUUGUAAUUUUAGAGGCCACUAAACUCUCAUGGCCAUUGUUUAUUUGUGGUUCUUACCAGUGCCUUUGUCUCGAAGGUGUUACUGUUUGCAUUGUGUGUGUGCGUAUUUCACACCUAUGUGAGUCACUGAACAGAAAGUUUAGGCUUGGUGUUUUUACUAUACAGUAAUGUCGUUUUGUCAAUUUAAUCAACUGUAAUUCUGUGUGUCUUUCAUCAAUAUGAUGAUGACGUUUGAGAGCCACCCCUCCCCAGUAAGCUCCCCUGCCGGUCAAGGUCUUCACCCCCCGCUGCUAUGCCAAUCACCCCAUGUGACGGUUCUACAUCCACUUUUCAUAGACCUCUUGAAAAAGAAAGUGCUUGUGGCACCAUUCGUCCUAACAUAAUUGGUUUCCCCAAGACCAAGGUAAACGACAUGACAAAGACAGUGGAGAGGGGGACCAUACGUUGGAUCAGGACUAACAAGCUACUUUUUCACUAGGGAAGUAACCUUGCUCAACACACAGCAUAAGGCAUUCAGUAACAACCAGGUCUCAAGGAGGGUGAAAAAGGAAUGAUGUCCCCAUUCCUGUUUCUGUGAAGGACUACAAUGCCAGAAUGGGGGGUGUUGACCUAUCUGGUACUCCACAAGACCAGGAAGUAGUAUGAGACUUUUUUUAACGCUUUGUGGACAUUGCUCCAGUAAAUGCUUUCAUUCUCUGCAAGCAGAUGGCCAAAGCAAAAGGUCAAACACCUCUCACCCAGUUGGCCUUCCGAGAGCAGCUGGUGUUGGAAAUGGCUGAAUUUGGGGCCCAAAGCAACCUCACAACCAUUACAAGACCCCCCACUCAAGAGAGGGACUGCUUCAAAGACUAUCACGACAUGAGCAAGCUAUGGUGAAAGUGAAAUCUAAUCAUCUACACCUGGGAUGUAACACGAAUGCCAUUUUGUAAAUUGUUCAGCUGAUUUCCAGUUUUGCACGUUUUUUUAGUGAAGGACACGUGUGUAACCAAGUUUGUGUUUGAUAAGACCUUUUUUACAAUUUUUUUUAAUGUAUAUCUGUAGCUUUUAUAUUGUUUUUGUAAACAGUUAAUUUGUGUGUGGGACCAAUACAUUGGAUACAUUGGAUAUGCCUAGGCUAAACACUUGGAAGCGUCCCGUGAGCACACCUGACACCGCUUACUAAAAUCUGCCCAUUUCUAGUUGUUAGGUCUAUCAAUCCCAUUUUUUUCCUGAUAUUGUUCACAUGUUGUGGAAGCCAUCUAAUGUGUUUCUAGCUCUGGGCAUCAGUAAUUCACUUAUAGCUUUUCAAUGAAAGAUGACUUUCAAAAUUUAAAAAAACAAUUAUUUUGUGUGUGCUUGAUCUUGUGUAUUCUGAACUACGGAACUCCUAUCUUCUGAUAAUUUCCCCAUAAUCUCCCAGAUAUCUUCUUUCCAAAUAUACCAAGAUUUUGAGAGUCAUAUCAUGUAAUUACACAUGAAUAGCAGUUACUUUUGGGUAUGUCUAUUUAGGUGGAAAUCUACAUUUUGCCGUUACAUUUUAAGAGUUUAUACACUAUUGCACAGUUGGUCCAUGAAACGUAUUAUGUUACCUGUUAAGCACAUUUUUACUCCUGAAUUUAUUUAGGCUUGGCAUAAGAAAGGGGUUGAAUACUUAUUGACUCAAGACAUUUCAGCUUUUCAUUUUUAAUAAAUUUGUAAAACAUUCGAAAAACAUGAUUCCACUUUGACAUUAUGGGGUAUUGUGUGUAGGCCAGUGACAAAACAUGUCAAUCAAUUUUCAAUUCAGGUGUGGAAAAAGUUGAGGGUUGUGAAUACUUCCUGAAGGCACUAUCUGAUUGGUCUUUGAACCUUUCUCAGCAUCCAGAGCACCAAUUUGGAGUCACGAUCCCCACUUGUUGUUUCUUGUUUUCAGUAUGUGAUGUGUUGAAUUAGCUAAGUCUAGAAUUGACAAGAUUCCUUUAGCAGAGUAUGGUCUGUGUGCUGUGUGUUCCCAGAAAUGGGUUGAACAUUUGGCUGUGAAACAUUGAUGGGCACCAUUUCCUGUUUAAAAAUUGUGUCUUUUGAAGUGGCCUGUGCACGGAAUCGAACUACACAAAAUAAAAUGAUUGUGUUUCAUAUAUUCACCCUAA
This is a long non-coding RNA of Oncorhynchus tshawytscha (Chinook salmon), 4156 nucleotides long. RefSeq lists it as uncharacterized. The record is from RefSeq and is a predicted model, not a curated record. The transcript has 2 exons. Lineage: Eukaryota; Metazoa; Chordata; Actinopteri; Salmoniformes; Salmonidae.